Long non-coding RNA from Dendroctonus ponderosae (mountain pine beetle), 241 nucleotides. RefSeq lists it as uncharacterized. The transcript is spliced from 4 exons. Lineage: Eukaryota; Metazoa; Arthropoda; Insecta; Coleoptera; Curculionidae. The record is from RefSeq and is a predicted model, not a curated record.
GGUUUUUCCGUGCCAGGCUCCGUUUCAAAGAACGAACUUGAUCCGUAGAAAACAGAUGCGAUGGUGGCACGAUGCAGCUUUCGGUUUGUGAAGUCGCUUUAAGAACAUUAUGGACGGAAAAUGGAGGAUGGGGCGCCAGCUUGGAGAAAGUUGGUGGCACGAUGCAGCUUCCGGUAAGUUUAGUUUCGACGAGGGACGAUUUUCUAGAUUACAUAUUGGGUUUUAAAAAAAAAUUGUUUUG